GGCUGUGCAGCCCAAGAUGCCAGAAGCGUCGCCGGAGAGGAAGCAGCCGGCCAAGGGAAAACGUCUAGAACCUACUCCACUGCCGUAUCGGAGCACAUGGUAGCCAAUGGAACUAUCAGUGGAGAAGAAUGAUAAGUAACAAUCUACUACCUAUAUAGCACAAGAACAUAAUGAGGAAAUUAAUUCGCUCAACAAUUAUAGGAGGGAAGAGGAAGCAAAGUACAUCAGAUAAGGGUAUGUUGAAGAUAUCUAACCUUUUAUUUUGAUGUUACCAGUAAAGCAUUGCACUUCAUCACUGUUUCAAUUGUUUUAUUUAAUCUCUUUAUACUGUGUUUUUAUAAAUUCCCAAUUCCCUGCUUCAAAAGAUGAAUGAAUACAUCUAAACAGCUUAAAAUAAAUUUUUGUAUUCUAAAUUCUCUUCAAAAUAAACAAUAAAUUUACUUGGAAGAGCAUUUGCUUGGACCCUCAAAUAUUACAUGGAAGAGCAUUUGCUUGAGAAAGUAAUCCUGGAAAUAAGAGGGAGGUGUCAAUGGCAGAGGGGAAGGAGGGGAUUGGGUGGAGUUAGGGCAGAGAAGGUGAUGGUUGUAGGCGAAGGAAUUCUCUGGAAUUAUCUGGUGGAUGGGGGCAUGGAAUUGCCAUCGAGGUCGCUCGGAAUGGAGGCUGACAAUGGAGGGGGAUGAUGGAAAUCGCAAAGUCCACAAAGGAGGUCUAACCAGCAGUAGUUGUUGCUGCAAAAUCUGGGCUGCAGAUUUGGUGCAGUCAGCUACUGGGAAUAAUUGUUGCAGACUUGAAGUCUAAAUGUCCAAAGUACAUGCUGUUUUUGGUUGUUGUUCGGAAAGAACAAUUUCAGAACUUGCACAAUGCCUUUCCUGUCAUGAGGAUAAACAAUGACCAAAAAUUGAUCCAAAUUCAUGCACCAGAGCUAUUGGUAGUUCACGACAAGGAUUUCAGUUCUAAGGUGAAAAAUAAGAUGGUGGAUGAUGACGAUGUCAAAUACUAUGUUUAUUAAUAAUCAACUUAAUAUUUGUUUUAGGACUUUGACGAGGGUGAUGAAAGUGAAAGCCCUCGCGCUAUUGGUGCUGCUGACAAUCAAGUGGUUGUGGGGGAUAGUUCUGUUGUAAAGAGGCGUGUCCUGGACGAGUUCUCAUAAACUCAAUCUUCAAAGAACAAGACAGUGGUCAGUGUUAAGCUUGAAAGAGUAGAGAGAAAAGAUUCAAUCUAGAGUGGUUGAGGUCUUUACGCAAGAUAAUCACAGAUGUAGUUGCCUAGAAACUUGGAGAACAUAGUGAAGAUGACCAUAAUCCUCUAUAAAUUGGCAACGUGCAGAUGUCUACAUGUAAAGAUCUAGGGACAAUAUGUAAUUUAGGAUGUUUUGGGCCUAAAGGUUAGUGUGAUAUACCAUGCAUGAGCGACAAAAUAUGCGUGUUAGCAAAAAAAUGUAUUC
This is a long non-coding RNA of Ipomoea nil (Japanese morning glory), 1444 nucleotides long. RefSeq lists it as uncharacterized. Lineage: Eukaryota; Viridiplantae; Streptophyta; Magnoliopsida; Solanales; Convolvulaceae. The transcript has 3 exons. The record is from RefSeq and is a predicted model, not a curated record.